AAGUCUGCUCACCUGCUGCCAAUCUGCAAUCAAGCCACCAACUCUGUCUGCAGUACUUAAGACCGGCUCAGUCCUCCACUCAUCACCAGAUCGCCCAUUUACCAAGCAUGGUUUCCCAGCAACUGCUCAACAACCCAACACCCAGCUCCAGGACCACUAGAUCAUUUUUGGUUCAAAGAUCUGUAGUCUUGAGUUUUCAAAAAUGAUCUUGAGAGAUCUGUUAUCCAAUAAAAGCAGUUGGCUCUGGGAUAUGCUCCACCUUUUA
Molecule: long non-coding RNA, 265 nt
Organism: Notolabrus celidotus (New Zealand spotty)
Lineage: Eukaryota; Metazoa; Chordata; Actinopteri; Labriformes; Labridae
Exons: 2
Source: RefSeq, a predicted model, not a curated record